GCAUCGGUGGUUUAGUGGUAAAAUUAGCCGUUGCCAUCCAGCUUUUACAGCAGGACAGUUUCGGCUAGCCCCGGGUUCGAUUCCCGGCCGAUGCA
RNAcentral lists this transfer RNA (95 nucleotides) under Pyrenophora tritici-repentis. Its description in RNAcentral is "tRNA-Gly". It matches the Rfam family "tRNA". Rfam says of the family: Transfer RNA (tRNA) molecules are approximately 80 nucleotides in length. Their secondary structure includes four short double-helical elements and three loops (D, anti-codon, and T loops). Lineage: Eukaryota; Fungi; Ascomycota; Dothideomycetes; Pleosporales; Pleosporaceae. RNAcentral also lists the same sequence under 1 other name. The record is from RNAcentral.